UUAUACCUUACAUGAAGUAAGAUUCGAUCCUAACUGGGAGGAGGCGUUGCAAUUUCGAAAUAUUGGACAUCGAUAUGAGUGUGUCUUGAACAAUCGCACUAGGGUUGAGCCGUAUACCAUGCCUAUUCAGUUUCCGCUCUACCCAAAGCACCUUAUGUCAUUCCCUGAGGUGUAUCGCCGUCCUAAUAAGACUUUUGUAGAUAUAGCUGGAGUAGUUGUGCAUUGGGCAGCAAUUGAGCACAUUGGUUGUAGCCUCUAUAGAGAGGUCACACUCAUGGACACAAGGUGCAACUUGAUUGUUGUUGGGGUUUGGUCCCACCAUUUGACCCGACAUGCGCGUAGCUGGUCAUUGGCUAAUGCUAACAAUGACAUAGUCUUGUUAACUAUGCUUCAAAAUAACAGGAGACACGGUAAUUGGUUUCUUAUUAAUCAAGGCAUACUUAACCAUUAUACUUGUUAAGUUACUUCAUUAACAACAAAUUUUGAAAUCAGGGUGCUUGGAGACUUCAGAACAUACAACUUUUAAAUUCAACCCAAGUCAUUGCGCUACACGUGCACUGCAGAACGUGCGCGGAUCGGUGAUCACAGGAUCUAUGGAUCUCCGUUUUGUUAACAGAUUUCUUGAGAAUAGAUGGGCGUACCUAGCAACCGUGGUUUGAGUGUGAUGGCUACAAGUACUAA
Molecule: long non-coding RNA, 681 nt
Organism: Phragmites australis (common reed)
Lineage: Eukaryota; Viridiplantae; Streptophyta; Magnoliopsida; Poales; Poaceae
Exons: 4
Source: RefSeq, a predicted model, not a curated record